RNAcentral lists this ribosomal RNA (297 nucleotides) under Lachnodius sp. LGC-2008. RNAcentral describes it as "partial 28S ribosomal RNA". Lineage: Eukaryota; Metazoa; Arthropoda; Insecta; Hemiptera; Eriococcidae. The record is from RNAcentral.
GAGCCCGUGAAUCCGGACGACGGAAUUCAGGAUCGCGGUCGCCGGUUCGCCCGGCGCUCGCGGUUUGAUAUUUCCGUCGUCGCGCGGACGUCGCGACCUGUUCGACGUCGGCCCACGUUCGGAGGAACCGCGAUCGAGUUCGCCGCGCGAACGCGUUUCGGCGCGUUCGAUGUCGGCGAAGGCGCGGACUUCCGGCCGACUGGUCGGACAGUAUGCGGAACGGCGGACGGCGUCGUUACCUCGUGUACGCGGCGCCGUUGCCGGUCGGCGACGAUUUCUUCGGGCCUCUUUCCGACC